RNAcentral lists this long non-coding RNA (265 nucleotides) under Mytilus galloprovincialis (Mediterranean mussel). Lineage: Eukaryota; Metazoa; Mollusca; Bivalvia; Mytilida; Mytilidae. The record is from RNAcentral.
CUAAAUCUACCAGAAACAAUGAAAACAUAUAGUAAGACCUUUGGCCUAAAGAUUGACCAAUCAAAAGGUUAGAAUUUUCCCUCCAAAAUGAUAUGAAAGAAAAGAGGUUCACCAAAGGGAAAAGAGAAUGAUACUAGAACAAUAGUGCUAGAAAUAGAAACAAUGAAUAACCAAACUAUCAAACACUCCAAUAAAAUUAAUAUCAUCAAUAUCAUAUUUGAUAUAUCAAUCAAAUAUGACUCUGCCACAUUUUUAAAAACUAUAA